ACAUCCAGCGAACUUGGCAGAGAUGCCUUGGUGCCUUCGGGAACGCUGAGACAGGUGCUGCAUGGCUGUCGUCAGCUCGUGUUGUGAAAUGUUGGGUUAAGUCCCGCAACGAGCGCAACCCUUAUCCUUUGUUGCCAGCGAUUCGGUCGGGAACUCAAAGGAGACUGCCGGUGAUAAACCGGAGGAAGGUGGGGAUGACGUCAAGUCAUCAUGGCCCUUACGAGUAGGGCUACACACGUGCUACAAUGGCGCAUACAAAGAGAAGCGACCUCGCGAGAGCAAGCGGACCUCAUAAAGUGCGUCGUAGUCCGGAUCGGAGUCUGCAACUCGACUCCGUGAAGUUGGAAUCGCUAGUAAUCGUGGAUCAGAAUGCCACGGUGAAUACGUUCCCGGGCCUUGUACACACCGCCCGUCACACCAUGGGAGUGGGUUGCAAAAGAAGUAGGUAGCUUAACCUUCGGGAGGGCGCUUACCACUUUGUGAUUCAUGACUGGGGUGAAGUCGUAACAAGGUAAGCGUAGCGAG
Molecule: ribosomal RNA, 525 nt
Filed under: uncultured bacterium
Lineage: Bacteria
Description: bacterial SSU rRNA
Rfam family: Bacterial small subunit ribosomal RNA
Source: RNAcentral